GUAGGUGGCAAGCGUUGUCCGGAAUUAUUGGGGCGUAAAGCGCGCGCAGGCGGUUUCUUAAGUCUGAUGUGAAAGCCCACGGGCUCAACCGUGGAGGGUCAUUGGAAACUGGGGAACUUGAGUGCAGAAGAGGAAAGUGGAAUUCCACGUGUAGCGGUGAAAUGCGUAGAGAUGUGGAGGAACACCAGUGGCGAAGGCGACUUUCUGGUCUGUAACUGACGCUGAGGCGCGAAAGCGUGGGGAGCAAACAGGAUUAGAUACCCUGGUAGUCCACGCCGUAAACGAUGAGUGCUAAGUGUUAGAGGGUUUCCGCCCUUUAGUGCUGCAGCUAACGCAUUAAGCACUCCGCCUGGGGAGUACGGUCGCAAAGACUG
This 374-nucleotide ribosomal RNA is filed under the name uncultured organism. RNAcentral describes it as "partial 16S ribosomal RNA". It matches the Rfam family "Bacterial small subunit ribosomal RNA", at positions 527 to 896 of the family's 1533-position model. The record is from RNAcentral.